GAUACAGGGGCGAGGAUGUAGAUUUUCAGAUAUGGGACAUCAACCUGAGAGAAACAGAAGAACAACAGGAAAUAAGGAAACCAAGACGUGACAAAUUAACAAGACGACAGUAAAUCUCCACAGGGGCAGCGAUCUCGCAAAGGCUCAGUCUAACAGCUAAGAACCUGUCUGACUGGCUGCGGUUCUUCUUUCCUCGUGAUGACCAGCAGGCAGCGGUUUUAUUGCAGCUACUUCUGUGUUAAGAGGGUUUUUUUUUCCAUUAAAGAAUUUCUCAGCCAGUUUUGUGUCUGGCCUGGACAUUUCAUAAAGCUGAAUGUCCUUCCUCUUCGAUGUCAUCCAAAUAAGUUGGAUAGGUUAUCCUUGAUUGAUCCUAAACGAGGAGAUUGUAGUUAUAGUAGCUCAAGGGCAGAAUAGAUACAUGUAAAAAAAAUAGAAGAAAAGAAUAGAAUAACAGAGCUAGUUGUUUAUUUGUUUUUUUCUGUCAAGCAGUGAUCAGUUACCCCAGGAUCUUAUAUCAAGUGGUCACUUCAUGUGCACUCGAGUGUCCAUCUGAUGCUGGUUGUAAAAUGCAAUCCAUCUAAACUGGCUCUUGACACAUUUGAGAAGCUCUAAAUAUGUUCUCCAGCAUAAAAAGGAUGAUAUCUUUACUGAUACUGUAACAUCUUUUGAUUUUACGCCCAAACUUCUUCCGUGAACAACGAAAACGAAAGCAAUAGCCUCGUCGUUCCAAAAGCCUUGGAGGAAUGUGCAUAGUUAACUGUGUUCUAAAGAUAAACAUGAAUUAAAAGCCUGUCAACCAUAAUUGCAUCUCAUCGAGCCAUUAGCGCUGAAGCCAAGUGGUAAAGAAUAGUUUUUUAAAUGGCUCGGAAAGUCAUCUUCAUACAAUACUUGGGUGUGGUCGGCCAUCUUUUGUCCUGGAAAGAUCACAGUGAGUAUGUCAACAUAGUGUCUGAAGUCAUUUAAAGUGAGUGGACAAAUCCUUUUGUUUAGUUUUUUACUUUUUUCAUAAAGUACUGUAGUACUGCGUGGCACAAGUACUUUGAAGUCGAAACUGCUCCGCGAAAAAAAACAAAAAGCUGGACAAAGACUUUUUGGAAAACCCCUUGAAACACUAUGACUCAGGACUCCACAGUCACAUUUGUUGGCUGGUGAAUAAUCGUUAAACAAUGUUAGACUGAAGCACAUUUUGUUCACCAGUUGAUCCUAAAAGUACCUAGAAGGCCACUUUGGAGAAUGUGUUCCUCCGCCAAGGCUAAUGCUCUAUCAUGCCAUACUAAACAAAGUGAAGUAAAUGACUGGAGCCACUUCGGCUCUGGCUUUUGAGGAUGUUAUGUGAUGCUACAUGUAUGUAUCCUUAGUUUGUCUCAAGCUGUAAAUGGAGCUGCUUCUGUGAUACCAGACAAACUUUACAUGUGUCAGACAAUAAAGUAUUAUCAAUCACUUAA
Platichthys flesus (European flounder) is the source of this 1445-nucleotide long non-coding RNA. RefSeq lists it as uncharacterized. The record is from RefSeq and is a predicted model, not a curated record. Lineage: Eukaryota; Metazoa; Chordata; Actinopteri; Pleuronectiformes; Pleuronectidae. The transcript has 2 exons.